Molecule: small RNA, 27 nt
Filed under: Bombyx mori (domestic silkworm)
Lineage: Eukaryota; Metazoa; Arthropoda; Insecta; Lepidoptera; Bombycidae
Description: ovarian small RNA-36007
Source: RNAcentral
UGUUACGGGUUCUUAGAUGAUAUUUUA